GACGAACGCUGGCGGCGUGCUUAACACAUGCAAGUCGAACGUGAUUUUUGUGGAAAUUCUUUCGGGAAUGGAAAUGAAAUGAAAGUGGCGAACGGGUGAGUAACACGUGAGCAACCUACCUUACACAGGGGGAUAGCCGUUGGAAACGACGAUUAAUACCGCAUGAGACCACAGAAUCGCAUGAUAUAGGGGUCAAAGAUUUAUCGGUGUAAGAAGGGCUCGCGUCUGAUUAGCUAGUUGGAAGGGUAAAGGCCUACCAAGGCGACGAUCAGUAGCCGGUCUGAGAGGAUGAACGGCCACAUUGGAACUGAGACACGGUCCAAACUCCUACGGGAGGCAGCAGUGGGGAAUAUUGCACAAUGGGGGGAACCCUGAUGCAGCGACGCCGCGUGAGCGAAGAAGGUUUUCGAAUCGUAAAGCUCUGUCCUAUGAGAAGAUAAUGACGGUAUCAUAGGAGGAAGCCCCGGCUAAAUACGUGCCAGCAGCCGCGGUAAUACGUAUGGGGCGAGCGUUGUCCGGAAUUAUUGGGCGUAAAGGGUACGUAGGCGGUUUUUUAAGUCAGGUGUGAAAGCGUGAGGCUUAACCUCAUUAAGCACUUGAAACUGGAAGGCUUGAGUGAAGGAGAGGAAAGUGGAAUUCCUAGUGUAGCGGUGAAAUGCGUAGAUAUUAGGAGGAAUACCGGUGGCGAAGGCGACUUUCUGGACUUUUACUGACGCCCAGGUACGAAAGCGUGGGGAGCAAACAGG
This 746-nucleotide ribosomal RNA is filed under the name uncultured Parvimonas sp. RNAcentral describes it as "bacterial SSU rRNA". It matches the Rfam family "Bacterial small subunit ribosomal RNA", at positions 28 to 776 of the family's 1533-position model. The record is from RNAcentral. Lineage: Bacteria; Bacillati; Bacillota; Tissierellia; Tissierellales; Peptoniphilaceae.